Molecule: ribosomal RNA, 263 nt
Filed under: uncultured bacterium
Lineage: Bacteria
Description: partial 16S ribosomal RNA
Rfam family: Bacterial small subunit ribosomal RNA
Source: RNAcentral
UACGUAUGGUGCAAGCGUUAUCCGGAUUUACUGGGUGUAAAGGGAGUGUAGGUGGUCUGACAAGUCAGAGGUGAAAGCCCGGGGCUCAACCCCGGGACUGCCUUUGAAACUGUCAGACUAGAGUGCAGGAGAGGUAAGUGGAAUUCCUAGUGUAGCGGUGAAAUGCGUAGAUAUUAGGAGGAACACCAGUGGCGAAGGCGGCUUACUGGACUGUAACUGACACUGAGGCUCGAAAGCGUGGGGAGCAAACAGGAUUAGAUACC